This 395-nucleotide ribosomal RNA is filed under the name uncultured bacterium. RNAcentral's name for it is "partial 16S ribosomal RNA". It matches the Rfam family "Bacterial small subunit ribosomal RNA", at positions 523 to 917 of the family's 1533-position model. The record is from RNAcentral.
AUACGUAGGGAGCGAGCGUUGUCCGGAACUACUGGGUGUAAAGGGAGCGUAGGCGGGAGUGCAAGUCAGAUGUGAAAUACAUGGGCUCAACCCAUGGGCUGCAUUUGAAACUGCAUUUCUUGAGUGAAGUAGAGGUAAGCGGAAUUCCUGGGGUAGCGGUGAAAUGCGUAGAUAUCAGGAGGAACACCGGUGGCGAAGGCGGCUUACUGGGCUUUUACUGACGCUGAGGCUCGAAAGCGUGGGGAGCAAACAGGAUUAGAUACCCUGGUAGUCCACGCUGUAAACGAUGAUUACUAGGUGUGGGGGGACUGACCCCUUCCGUGCCGCAGCUAACACAAUAAGUAAUCCACCUGGGGAGUACGGCCGCAAGGUUGAAACUCAAAUGAAUUGGCGGG